ACUACCAGACUUCUCAGACUCAAUCCUUUCUUGCUCUUCUCUCUCGAACAAAACCUCCCUCACCGGGAAUCGCUCCGCCGUGCCGGAGGCGGCGGAGCUUGACCAAAUCUGGAAAUUAUGACCUCGCUACAAACCUCUCUUCAUCCUCUGUCAGAAUCCCGCAUCAAUUUCGCCUGAAAGAGGCUCCCUCCUCCCAAAUCGAGAGAGGGAUUACGAACCCUAGAUCUAACAAUAAACCAAAUUAGACGAUAACAACCGCGAAUCAUGAAGCGAGGCCAUGGGGGAAGAAUUCAGGGGACACUGAUAUUCGUUAUAACAUCAAACAAUAGCGUAAAGAGAUGAAGAAAGUUGGAGGAAUUCGCGUUUACCUACCGGAGUCAGUCCGGCGCUCCUUCGACGACGUCGACUUGGCGAAAUAAACGCAAGGAUAUACUUCAAUCUCAGGGGCUGAAUUUGAUGAUUUGCUGCUGAACUUUGCGAAUCGACUUGCUUUGAGCAGAUAUUUGUGAGGAUGGGCAGAAGAUGAUGGAUGAAGGCUUGAAGGAAUAAACUCAUAGUGAAGUUUAGUGUUGGGGACACCAAUGGAUUGAAUUUGUUUUUUUUGUAAUAAAAUUGUAACGGUGACACAUUAUGAAUGUAAUAUGAUUUGAAAUGUAAUGAUCUUUUCUGAUUUGUAACAAGAUCAUGAUGGAAGCUCAAAGCAACAUGGAAUAACAAGAACAAUCAUGGAGAAUGGAAUGUAAACAUGAAGGAAUUUGGACUAUUUCUGGUGUAAAUUUGUAAUGAACAGUUGGGUUUUUCUUGUGUAUGAAGUAUGAAGAAGCAACAAGGAUCAAGCAUGGAAUUGAAUGGAGAAGCUUUAAAGGCAAAAUGUUGAAGCUUUUAGGAAUAGGUCCUUUUUCUUUUGUAAUUCAGUUUGUUGUAGAGUUUUCUAUGUAACGGCAUGGAUGUAUCGAAUCUGUAUUAAACACGGACAUGGGGAAAUGGGUGAAUAUUCUAAUGAAGUUCUUUUCUUUCACAUGAAUGUAACUCUUAUUCUCUUCCUUUCCACCUUUUUUGUAAUAGCUUCUAGUAAUGUAUGAAUU
Molecule: long non-coding RNA, 1085 nt
Organism: Vicia villosa (hairy vetch)
Lineage: Eukaryota; Viridiplantae; Streptophyta; Magnoliopsida; Fabales; Fabaceae
Exons: 3
Source: RefSeq, a predicted model, not a curated record